Long non-coding RNA from Mirounga angustirostris (Northern elephant seal), 563 nucleotides. RefSeq lists it as uncharacterized. The transcript has 4 exons. The record is from RefSeq and is a predicted model, not a curated record. NCBI's taxonomy places the organism in Eukaryota, Metazoa, Chordata, Mammalia, Carnivora, Phocidae.
UCACGGUUAAUGAGUAGCUGAGCUGAGAUUUGAACCCAAGGUUUUCUCACAACGCGCCAAGCUGCCUCUCCUCCCAUCUUUCUCCAGCCGGACGGUAGAACUGACAGGGGAUCUGGAGACAGUCUCCCACUUCCCUGCUGAGAUCGAAGGCCCAGAAGUGUGCACUGAAUCACCCAGAGGCAGUUACGGAAGCCUGGGCCAGUGCUGUCCACAUAAAUAUGUUUUCCUGCCUUCUUUGAAUCUGUAUCUGGUGGAUGAGAUGUAGUGGAAAUGUUUUCUAAGAGUUCCAGUAAAGCUGCAUAAAAGGCGGGAGGAGUCCCCUUCCCAACACCCCUGUGAAAUGGUCAUCCAGCCUCUGCAAAAGCACUCUGCUGAAUCCAACAGGUAAUUAGCUUCUCAUCUGUUAAUGAAUGAAAUCUCGUUAAGAGACGAAAUCCACAACCCUGAGAUGGUGAGCAGCCAGAUGUGCCUGCCCUCAAGGAUCUCACUGUCCAAGGUGCUAAGCGACUGAGCAUAUUUGUAAUGCAGUCCGCGGUCCUCAAGGCAAUUUUCAGCAAGGAAAA